This 2925-nucleotide ribosomal RNA is filed under the name Escherichia coli. RNAcentral describes it as "23S ribosomal RNA". It matches the Rfam family "Bacterial large subunit ribosomal RNA". The record is from RNAcentral. Lineage: Bacteria; Pseudomonadati; Pseudomonadota; Gammaproteobacteria; Enterobacterales; Enterobacteriaceae.
GGGUUGUGAGGUUAAGCGACUAAGCGUACACGGUGGAUGCCCUGGCAGUCAGAGGCGAUGAAGGACGUGCUAAUCUGCGAUAAGCGUCGGUGAGGUGAUAUGAACCGUUAUAACCGGCGAUUUCCGAAUGGGGAAACCCAGUGUGUUUCGACACACUAUCAUUAACUGAAUCCAUAGGUUAAUGAGGCGAACCGGGGGAACUGAAACAUCUAAGUACCCCGAGGAAAAGAAAUCAACCGAGAUUCCCCCAGUAGCGGCGAGCGAACGGGGAGGAGCCCAGAGCCUGAAUCAGUGUGUGUGUUAGUGGAAGCGUCUGGAAAGGCGCGCGAUACAGGGUGACAGCCCCGUACACAAAAAUGCACAUACUGUGAGCUCGAUGAGUAGGGCGGGACACGUGGUAUCCUGUCUGAAUAUGGGGGGACCAUCCUCCAAGGCUAAAUACUCCUGACUGACCGAUAGUGAACCAGUACCGUGAGGGAAAGGCGAAAAGAACCCCGGCGAGGGGAGUGAAAAAGAACCUGAAACCGUGUACGUACAAGCAGUGGGAGCCUCUUAAUGGGGUGACUGCGUACCUUUUGUAUAAUGGGUCAGCGACUUAUAUUCUGUAGCAAGGUUAACCGAAUAGGGGAGCCGAAGGGAAACCGAGUCUUAACUGGGCGUUAAGUUGCAGGGUAUAGACCCGAAACCCGGUGAUCUAGCCAUGGGCAGGUUGAAGGUUGGGUAACACUAACUGGAGGACCGAACCGACUAAUGUUGAAAAAUUAGCGGAUGACUUGUGGCUGGGGGUGAAAGGCCAAUCAAACCGGGAGAUAGCUGGUUCUCCCCGAAAGCUAUUUAGGUAGCGCCUCGUGAAUUCAUCUCCGGGGGUAGAGCACUGUUUCGGCAAGGGGGUCAUCCCGACUUACCAACCCGAUGCAAACUGCGAAUACCGGAGAAUGUUAUCACGGGAGACACACGGCGGGUGCUAACGUCCGUCGUGAAGAGGGAAACAACCCAGACCGCCAGCUAAGGUCCCAAAGUCAUGGUUAAGUGGGAAACGAUGUGGGAAGGCCCAGACAGCCAGGAUGUUGGCUUAGAAGCAGCCAUCAUUUAAAGAAAGCGUAAUAGCUCACUGGUCGAGUCGGCCUGCGCGGAAGAUGUAACGGGGCUAAACCAUGCACCGAAGCUGCGGCAGCGACACUAUGUGUUGUUGGGUAGGGGAGCGUUCUGUAAGCCUGUGAAGGUGKMCUGUGAGGKWUGCUGGAGGUAUCAGAAGUGCGAAUGCUGACAUAAGUAACGAUAAAGCGGGUGAAAAGCCCGCUCGCCGGAAGACCAAGGGUUCCUGUCCAACGUUAAUCGGGGCAGGGUGAGUCGACCCCUAAGGCGAGGCCGAAAGGCGUAGUCGAUGGGAAACAGGUUAAUAUUCCUGUACUUGGUGUUACUGCGAAGGGGGGACGGAGAAGGCUAUGUUGGCCGGGCGACGGUUGUCCCGGUUUAAGCGUGUAGGCUGGUUUUCCAGGCAAAUCCGGAAAAUCAAGGCUGAGGCGUGAUGACGAGGCACUACGGUGCUGAAGCGACAAAUGCCCUGCUUCCAGGAAAAGCCUCUAAGCAUCAGGUAACAUCAAAUCGUACCCCAAACCGACACAGGUGGUCAGGUAGAGAAUACCAAGGCGCUUGAGAGAACUCGGGUGAAGGAACUAGGCAAAAUGGUGCCGUAACUUCGGGAGAAGGCACGCUGAUAUGUAGGUGAAGCGACUUGCUCGUGGAGCUGAAAUCAGUCGAAGAUACCAGCUGGCUGCAACUGUUUAUUAAAAACACAGCACUGUGCAAACACGAAAGUGGACGUAUACGGUGUGACGCCUGCCCGGUGCCGGAAGGUUAAUUGAUGGGGUUAGCGGUAACGCGAAGCUCUUGAUCGAAGCCCCGGUAAACGGCGGCCGUAACUAUAACGGUCCUAAGGUAGCGAAAUUCCUUGUCGGGUAAGUUCCGACCUGCACGAAUGGCGUAAUGAUGGCCAGGCUGUCUCCACCCGAGACUCAGUGAAAUUGAACUCGCUGUGAAGAUGCAGUGUACCCGCGGCAAGACGGAAAGACCCCGUGAACCUUUACUAUAGCUUGACACUGAACAUUGAGCCUUGAUGUGUAGGAUAGGUGGGAGGCUUUGAAGUGUGGACGCCAGUCUGCAUGGAGCCGACCUUGAAAUACCACCCUUUAAUGUUUGAUGUUCUAACGUGGGCCCCUUACCGGGGUUGCGGACAGUGUCUGGUGGGUAGUUUGACUGGGGCGGUCUCCUCCUAAAGAGUAACGGAGGAGCACGAAGGUUGGCUAAUCCUGGUCGGACAUCAGGAGGUUAGUGCAAUGGCAUAAGCCAGCUUGACUGCGAGCGUGACGGCGCGAGCAGGUGCGAAAGCAGGUCAUAGUGAUCCGGUGGUUCUGAAUGGAAGGGCCAUCGCUCAACGGAUAAAAGGUACUCCGGGGAUAACAGGCUGAUACCGCCCAAGAGUUCAUAUCGACGGCGGUGUUUGGCACCUCGAUGUCGGCUCAUCACAUCCUGGGGCUGAAGUAGGUCCCAAGGGUAUGGCUGUUCGCCAUUUAAAGUGGUACGCGAGCUGGGUUUAGAACGUCGUGAGACAGUUCGGUCCCUAUCUGCCGUGGGCGCUGGAGAACUGAGGGGGGCUGCUCCUAGUACGAGAGGACCGGAGUGGACGCAUCACUGGUGUUCGGGUUGUCAUGCCAAUGGCACUGCCCGGUAGCUAAAUGCGGAAGAGAUAAGUGCUGAAAGCAUCUAAGCACGAAACUUGCCCCGAGAUGAGUUCUCCCUGACUCCUUGAGAGUCCUGAAGGAACGUUGAAGACGACGACGUUGAUAGGCCGGGUGUGUAAGCGCAGCGAUGCGUUGAGCUAACCGGUACUAAUGAACCGUGAGGCUUAACCUUACAACGCCGAAG